GUUGUUUUCAAGUGAAUUCAGUGUACUCGUUUAUCGCUUUAUCAAUUAUCACAAAAUCGGUCGUAAGUUAAUUAGGUGAUACUGAAAGAAAUGUAAUUAGUGUCAAGUCAGGAAACAAUACACGCCAAUAAUCGAAUCUUAAAAACUAUCCUGUGAAAUGUGUUUGUUCACGUGCAUAUAUCGAAUUUCUGAAAGCAUCGCGUGAACUAUCUCGAUAACAUAACCUUCUCGUUAUGCCAAACAGAUUAGUGAAAUCAAAAGUAACUAUUCUAUCGAUUCUUCGAACGCAUUAAAUAACAUCAGCAGUUAGACUAUGUUUGACCCUAAUGAACGUAUUAUGCUUGAUAAAAUGUAACAUAAACUUUUUACGUCAAGAUAUCAAGAAAGGACAUUAAAAAAUAACAUCUCCUAAAAAUAUAACGUUCCGUAAUAAAAGAGCGUGCUGAUAAUAUACGUCAAGUUGAAUCUUUUUACUUGUCAAAUAACUUUCUGUCAUAGAAACAGACGACAAUUCUUCUAACGUUCUCUUGUGAUGUUGACAAAGAUUUAGUAAUUUCUCCUAUCUUGAUAUAUAUUAUUCUUUAAAUAAAACGUACAAAAAUUGCCUUUUGUUUUCCAUUUAAAACUCUUGAGUUUGCCAUUAUUUCGAUUGCAUAAUAAGUUCGAAUUAAAAUAUCUGUGAAGUGAGCAAAAAUGAUUGAAAACUAGUAUCCAUGUUCGUAUAGGUCUUUAAAGUUCAUAUAAUCCUUUCUAAGAAAAAAUGUAAAAUUACGAUGUAGAGACUUACUUCGUAUAUGCGUAUAUUGACAAUAGUUGUUAACAACUCCUUUUUUUUUCUUUUAAUUAAUAAGGAUUGCAUUUUAUUCUAAUACUCAAGGUCGAAUUGAGUAUCGUUAUCUCGCGAGAUGUUGGAUGCAAUAGCAAAUGAUCACUGUUUUCAAAUAAACGAUGUUUUUUAACAUAACGAUAAAAUAAAUAUGUCGCAAAUAAUGAUGUUUUUUGCAAAUAAUUGUUGUAAGUAAUGACAAAAAGAAUGUUAGAGGAUAAUGAUAAUAAUUGAAUUAAGGUAUAUAAAUUUAAUAGUUACACACUUUCGAAACAUCGUAGUAGAUGUUAUAAUUUAUUCGAUCGUAAUUAAUGAUUACCUAUGCAUUACCUAUGCAUAUAUACAUAUUCAUAGAUCAGUGGAAAAGGUAAUCUAACGAUUAUGUAGAUCUGGAUCUAGAUCUAGUACUUACGUUAGUUUUACCAAUUCUUGCUUCCUAUAUCUCGAAUUUGUCGUACAUUGUAUUUAUCAUUAUAUCAAUUUAUGAUCCCUUAAUGUUAUUAAAAAAUGUUACAGUGGAUCCAAUUGUAAUUCCAAUCUUGAUGAUAAAUUCGUCAUAAUUAUGUGUGAAGGUUUAAAUCGAUUCAAUCCAAUGACUCGUAGUAACGAUCAUUAGAAGUUACAACAGCUUUGUUUCAAUAUUUGUUAUCUGAAUUGAAAUACCGUGGUUGUUCGAUAAACGCUUGCUAUUAAUUUUAUGUGCUUCAAAUACGCAAGUUACGAUGUUAUUUUCAAAGAAAAACGCAUAUAGAGAAGCAUAAACAAGUAGAUAAACAUUCUCAUGUAGAAAUAGAUAUUAAAAUGAGUAAACGGUACGGAGGACCUCGAGAAGAACAGAAUACUAAAUAAGCGUAUGAUUCACAUAAAUGUGCUACAUGAAUGCAAUAAAUAUACUUUCUACAGUAUCAUGAUCGUUUUUAUAACUGUUUGUGUCACAAUUUAUCUUUUUCGUGUUAAGAGGGUAUUUUCACAAAAUUAUAAUUCGCAGGAAAUAAAUCGAUUUCGGAAUUGUUAACUAAGAAAAUAUUUGAUGAUUUACACGUUACUAUUUUUAAAAUUCAAUUCGGCGAAAUGUGCUUCCGGUAAAUGUAAAUUGGAACCUGAAUGCAGAAUAAUAUAGUAAACAAUUUUAUUUAGUUUAAAGAAUCACGAUUAGCCAGAUUUUAAAGGUAGAAUAUUUUAUAUUAAAAAAAAUAAAAGUUCUAAUACAUUUAAGGAACGGAAUACAGAAUAAUACCAAAUAAAUAAAGGAAAUAAAAAUAACACAAUGAUGCAAUAAUAAUACAAUACAAAGAAAAUACUUGCGCAACUUCUUAAUUCACAGGAACGAACUUUUCCCCUUCUAUGAACUAUCAACAACGUAAUUUGUGUUCAUUUUGAUGAUAUACAGAGAUAGUCAAAUAAGAUACUAGGAAAACUGUAAAUUGUACAUCUACAGCUGCGGUUCUUUUUGAUUCGUGUCUACCUGAUUGAUAAUUUAUGGAGAUUCUUAAGCAAAAUGAAUUUAUAACUUUUGAACGAAUAUAACGGAAUGGAAAUUUCACAAGCGUCAUAGGUCACGCGAUUAAAUUUUCAUUAAUAAUUACACGAUAUGUUUAGUUCAAGAAAGAAAGAGUUUCUUAUAUUUCAAAAAUUCCAUACAUACGAUUGGUAAUCUUUUUUUAGGAAAUUUUAAAAAAUAGUGAUUCCGGAACUGUAUUAAAAUCCUAUUACUUGAAAAGGAUGGCCGCUUCUGGAUGUGCAAUCGUGGCAAGAUAUGUCCUUGGAGCAGGGGUGAAGGAGCUGACCGCUGGUAAACAGCGCAGCGGCUUGGCAACAGGAUGAUCCCGCUAGGUCAAGACUCGACACUACGAAGUACCGAGAACCGUUAGACUCGGAACCGAGCAUCUAGAUUCCAGAAGAUCCUUUGGGAUGCGACUGUAUGAUACUUCGCUAGCAUGGAACCGAACAAUGACCGGUCUCUAACAAACGACUUUUCACUAAGUGCCGAAUGUAGGCUUAUUGCAAAGAAACUUGCUGAAUAACAAAAUAAAAAUUACAUUCCCGAACAGAUUUAAAUAUUUAUAGCCUACUGAAUUAAUUAUUAUUAAAACAAAUUUAUCAAAGUGUUCGCGUACUUCUAUGCGAUAAUAUAUGUACAUAUAUACAUAUAAAUUUAGUGCGUAUGUUCGUGUGCAUAUAUAUAUAUAUACAUUUAGUGUAUGUAUAUGUAGACAUGUAUACCCACACACUAAAUAUACAUACAGGAAGAACAAGUCGGACUACGCAACCUUCUGAAAGCAUCUUCGAGAAAGAUGAACUUACUGAAGGAGGAAGUUACAAUAGUAGGAAGAUUGACAAUUUUUCAACGAAAAUUGAAUGACUCUUUAAUUUUAUUCCGUAUUCCAUUUUCGAUCGCGAAUAAUCGAAUUAUCAACAUUAUAUGUUAAGUUUAUGUUAUAUAUUAAUUACUAAUAUUAUGUUAGUUAGCAAUUUCAUACUAUUAAUAUCCAAAAGCGGUGGUGUACAAAAUAAUUUAACCAAUAUAGAAAGAAUAAUGCGCGCGCGCGCGAUGUGUGUGUGUGCGAUAGCGUUACGUAUAUGUAACAAUUCGAAUUUUCUAAUAUACAACGUAAUUAAGUGACCGAAAAUAUAUAGACGACUCGCGGUAAAGUACUCUAGACAUAGUGAAAGUCUCGGCCUCGCCACAUGACUCGAAACCAGAUGAGGCAGUCUCAAUAUGUACCAUGUUACCUACUUACACUUAAUCUCAAUUUUAAGAUAAGUAAAUGACAUUCCAAUAUCUUUCUAUGUAAUAGGAGAAAAUUAAAAAGAAAGUAUUGAGAUGAAAAGCAAAAGAAAGAAUAUUCUUACAUAUGACUAUUACAGAAGUGUUUGAUAAAUAAGAUCAAAAUAUUUUUAAAAAUUAUCCACACACAAUGUACAAAAAAUUUUUAUUUCAUUUUCUUAUAUCGAGAAAAAGAACACUGUAACACGAGAAACUAUAUCUGCAGAAGGACGUCUGAUAACUACGCUUAAAUAUUUAGUUACCGAAUAAAGUUACGAAGCUCACAAAUUUUCCUGCA
Bombus terrestris (buff-tailed bumblebee) is the source of this 3891-nucleotide long non-coding RNA. RefSeq lists it as uncharacterized. The transcript has 4 exons. NCBI's taxonomy places the organism in Eukaryota, Metazoa, Arthropoda, Insecta, Hymenoptera, Apidae. The record is from RefSeq and is a predicted model, not a curated record.